CAAUCUGUAAGUUUUCCCUCUGUCCCUAACUCUUUGUCUCUCCCUUGUGCUCAUUAAUCCAAUCAUUGUUCUCUGAUGCUCUCUCUGUACUGCCCACAUUCCACUCACAGCCAAUGAACUCCUCUCUUCCUGCUGCACAGCCACAGUGUGAGAAAGAGUUAAGUAAGGGAGCGGGACGGCACUAAUGGUGGCACUAAAGGAGCACAUGAGCUGAUUAUUCCCAGGGACACUUUGCUACUGAUUGUGGUCACUUCCAGGUCAGUCCCUCCCACAAGGAGCCAAUGGGAAUGUGGGAGGAAGCGAGUGACACAGGGAUGAAGGGGAAGAAGAAGAAGAA
This is a long non-coding RNA of Xenopus laevis (African clawed frog), 337 nucleotides long. RefSeq lists it as uncharacterized. NCBI's taxonomy places the organism in Eukaryota, Metazoa, Chordata, Amphibia, Anura, Pipidae. The transcript is spliced from 2 exons. The record is from RefSeq and is a predicted model, not a curated record.